RNAcentral lists this long non-coding RNA (1074 nucleotides) under Equus asinus (donkey). Its description in RNAcentral is "lncRNA (ENSEASG00005025465.1)". Lineage: Eukaryota; Metazoa; Chordata; Mammalia; Perissodactyla; Equidae. The record is from RNAcentral.
CAGGUAAUCUACAACGUGCAUGAGCGUUUCUGCCUCCAGAAGCAUCUGCUUUCAAGCAGCACACAGUGUGUACCAGCGGAGAGCAUCUAGAGGAGCGGGGCUUUAGUUCUUAGAAAAGGCUUCUCAGGACCUCACUACUCACGUGGGCUCCAGAGACCAACAGCACCUCCCUGGGGAGCUAGUAGAAAUGCAGAUCCUCGGGCCCACCCCUGACCUGCUGGGUUGGACCCUGGACUUAACAAGAUUCCCAGGUGUGCACAGGAAAGCCUGAGGGGCCCUGCUCUAGGGUGAACCUUGCUAACGCGCAGCCUCUGCUGAUUUGAAGAGGAGUGGGACCAGCUGGCUUCCUGCCAGGCUGCUUGUUCAAGGAUAUUAUUCUCAAGCACCAGCGGGUCAGACUUUCAGGGAAAAGAAAUUAAUGGCAGGAAGAGUUUGGAAAUUCCGGCUUCUGCUAAUUUCAUAAAAGCAAAUCAUAGGACAGAAAGGCUCACGAUUGCUGGGAGCUCACUUUUUUCUUCAUCGUUAUUACUCAGUCUUCAAGGGUUACUGAUAUCUUUCUUCUUUUCUCUUUAAUUUUCCUGACCAGUGACAUGUCUCUCUGCUGGUUAUUGGACUCCAACCCACUCCCUUCCCAUCUUGGUUGCUCUCCAGUCAUCUUCCACCUCCGCCCCUGAUCACGGGCGUGCACAGCAGCCCAGGCUGCCUAGGGCCCACUCCCUUCGGUUUUCACCUUUUCCGUUAAUCUGCCGCUGCGUCUGCAUCGUCUCCUGUCACCCUCGCCCUACAGCUUGGCUGUGGAUAUGGAUGUCUUUUGCUUGACUCUCCGGAUCCCCUCUCCUCCCUUUGUCAUCCAGCUCUGGGAUGUAGGAGGCUGACACAGUGGGGACUUCGUCAAUGGCUCCCUUCCCUCCUGGCAGGGAGGCAAGUGUGGUCAGGAUAUUGACGGCCUGGGCUCACCCUCUGCUGGGUCCCUCUCCAUGCCACUCCUCUGUCCCAGGUCUGGUUAUAGCUCUCUGCUCUGGUCCUGUAGGCUGACUGCCACUGCUACCAGUCUGGGUCUGUGCCAUCUCCGUG